CAGCCGCCGCGGUAAUACCGGCGGCCCGAGUGGCGGUCACUAUUAUUGGGCUUAAAGCGUCCGUAGCCGGGUUGGGAAGUCCUCCGGGGAAUCUGGCCGCUUAACGGUCAGAAUGCCGGAGGAUACUCCCAGCCUAGGGAGCGGGAGAGGCCGAGGGUAUUCCCGGAGUAGGGGUGAAAUCCUAUAAUCCCGGGAGGACCACCGGUGGCGAAGGCGCUCGGCUGGAACGCGUCCGACGGUGAGGGACGAAGGCCAGGGGAGCAAACCGGAUUAGAUACCCGGGUAGUCCUGGCGGUAAACGAUGCGGACUUUGUGUCGGACAAGCUAUGAGCUUGUCCGGUGCCGGAGGGAAACCGUUAAGUCCGCCGCCUGGGGAGUACGGCCGCAAGGCUGAAACUUAAAGGAAUUGGCGGG
This 414-nucleotide ribosomal RNA is filed under the name uncultured microorganism. RNAcentral's name for it is "bacterial SSU rRNA". It matches the Rfam family "Archaeal small subunit ribosomal RNA", at positions 459 to 872 of the family's 1478-position model. The record is from RNAcentral.